This 492-nucleotide ribosomal RNA is filed under the name uncultured bacterium. RNAcentral's name for it is "partial 16S ribosomal RNA". It matches the Rfam family "Bacterial small subunit ribosomal RNA", at positions 28 to 507 of the family's 1533-position model. The record is from RNAcentral.
GAUGAACGCUAGCUACAGGCUUAACACAUGCAAGUCGAGGGGAAACGACAUCGAAAGCUUGCUUUUGAUGGGCGUCGGCCGGCGCACGGGUGAGUAACGCGUAUCCAACCUGCCCAUCACUUGGGAAUAACCUUGCGAAAGUAAGACUAAUACCCAAUGAUAUCCCACGAAGGCAUCGGAAUGGGAUUAAAGAUUUAUCGGUGAUGGAUGGGGAUGCGUCUGAUUAGCUUGUUGGCGGGGUAACGGCCCACCAAGGCAACGAUCAGUAGGGGUUCUGAGAGGAAGGUCCCCCACAUUGGAACUGAGACACGGUCCAAACUCCUACGGGAGGCAGCAGUGAGGAAUAUUGGUCAAUGGGCGAGAGCCUGAACCAGCCAAGUAGCGUGCAGGAAGACGGCCCUAUGGGUGGUAAACUGCUUUUAUAAGGGAAUAAAGUGGGUCACGUGUGACUUUUUGCAUGUACCUUAUGAAUAAGGACCGGCUAAUUCCGUG